CGGCAGGUUUUUACUGAGUCAUCAACAUUAGUAAACAGACUGCAUAUGGCUUCAGAUCAUUACAAACUUCUCGAGGAAGAAACACGAACACCGAGGUAAGCCGCAGGCCUCUUGUUUCCUCUUCGUUCACCAGAAUUUAUUCUCGCGGCUGAUACAGAAAAUGCUUACUUGGCAACUCGAUAACUAGGCAACUCAAGAACAUUUCUCCGAGUUCAUGGCAUGGAUCUCGGUAUUCAAUAGGCUAACCCGCAGCUUCAUGAGUUGCUCCCGAAAUUCAAGUGCCUGAUCUGCUGAGGCGGAGAUUUCCACGAGUCCAAGAUGCUCCGUAGCCCUG
RNAcentral lists this long non-coding RNA (334 nucleotides) under Spirodela polyrhiza (greater duckweed). RNAcentral's name for it is "long non-coding RNA (SPOL_LNC001099)". The record is from RNAcentral. Lineage: Eukaryota; Viridiplantae; Streptophyta; Magnoliopsida; Alismatales; Araceae.